RNAcentral lists this unclassified non-coding RNA (300 nucleotides) under uncultured fungus. RNAcentral describes it as "sequence contains 5.8S rRNA gene, ITS2". The stretch from base 1 to 71 matches the Rfam family "5.8S ribosomal RNA", at positions 84 to 154 of the family's 154-position model. The record is from RNAcentral. Lineage: Eukaryota; Fungi.
GUGAAUCAUCGAAUCUUUGAACGCACAUUGCGCCCAAGGCUUCGGCCGAGGGCAUGUCUGCCUCAGCGUCGGUAUUACCCCCAUCGCCCAAUUCCAUCAAUGGAAGCGAGCGGAGCUGGCAGUCCCCUUCUGGGUCUGCCGAAUAGCAGCGUUUGUUGUCGGGACCCGCUUUAUGGCGUGGCCCUUCAGUUUGGUAGGUAACCCUUGGUUGCAUGCCACUGUUGGCCAUUUGGUUCCGCUCAGCAUGCGGCAGGAACAGAGGGUGCCCUCACCCAAUGAGGCCCCUUCUUUCAAUUUUCG